RNAcentral lists this ribosomal RNA (497 nucleotides) under uncultured bacterium. Its description in RNAcentral is "partial 16S ribosomal RNA". It matches the Rfam family "Bacterial small subunit ribosomal RNA", at positions 28 to 507 of the family's 1533-position model. The record is from RNAcentral.
GAUGAACGCUGGCGGCGUGCCUAAUACAUGCAAGUCGAGCGAACAGACGAGGAGCUUGCUCCUUUGACGUUAGCGGCGGACGGGUGAGUAACACGUAGGUAACCUACCUAUAAGACUGGGAUAACUUCGGGAAACCGGAGCUAAUACCGGAUAAUAUUUCGAACCGCAUGGUUCGAUAGUGAAAGAUGGCUUUGCUAUCACUUAUAGAUGGACCUGCGCCGUAUUAGCUAGUUGGUAAGGUAACGGCUUACCAAGGCAACGAUACGUAGCCGACCUGAGAGGGUGAUCGGCCACACUGGAACUGGGACACGGUCCAGACUCCUACGGGAGGGAGCAGUCGGGAAUCUUCCGCAGUGGGCGAGAGCCUGACGGAGCAACGCCGCGUGAGUGAUAGAGGUCUUCGGAUCGUAAAACUCUGUUAUUAGGGAAGAACAAACGUGUAAGUAACUGUGCACGUCUUGACGGUACCUAAUCAGAAAGCCACGGCUAACUACGUG